Long non-coding RNA from Piliocolobus tephrosceles (Ugandan red Colobus), 1888 nucleotides. NCBI's taxonomy places the organism in Eukaryota, Metazoa, Chordata, Mammalia, Primates, Cercopithecidae. The record is from Ensembl.
AUUACUAUACCACAGUUUUUUUUUUUUUUUUUUUUUUUUUUUUGUGUUGUGUAAAAAAUACCAAACAUACAGACCCGCUACCCAUUGUCAGACAAUACUUAAAAAACCUCGCUAUUUUUAAUGAAGAAAAAAAAAAAAAAAAAAAAAAUUUAUUGAAAAAACUGAAUUCAUGUAAUAUUAAAAUAAAUGACGAAAUAAAAAAAGAUUUAACUGAAAAAAAAGUAAAAGAUAUUUAUAAAUUUAUAAAUAAAAAUAAAAUUGAAAAUUUAUAUGACAUUUUUAAUGAUUUGUUAAACCUUAUUAAAAAUGUGUUUCAUGUAGAAAAUGUAUAUAUUGGCAAAGUCUACAAAAAGAAAGAAAAAAAUGGAAUCUCAAAAAAUGAAAUCUCAAAAAAAAAAAAAAAAAAAAUCUCAAAAAGGAUAAGACAAAAAAUGUAAAAGAAAAAACAAUCAAACAUGUUCUUAAAUUUAUAUAUACUAGUGAAAAUUGUGAUUUAAAAAAUAAAGUCCUUUCUAACGAAAACGAAAUUAAUAAUAUGUUCUUACAAGUGACUAAAAAUAAGGAAACAGAUUUCCUUUUUCUAAAAACUUAUUUAUUUCAUAAUAUAAUAAAAAAAAAAUUUAUAUAUGAGGAUCUGCAUGAAAAUUUAUUUUUUAAUAUAAACCCAUUUUAUGAAAACAUAAACCAGUUAAAAAAAGUAAAAAAAGAAAUAUACAAUUAUGCAAAAAUGGAGGAAAAAAAAAAAAGUUACUGAAGAUGGUGACGGUGAUGAAGAUGGUAACGGUGAUGAAGAUGGUAACGGUGAUGAANNNNNNNNNNGAUAAGUCUAGUGAUGGUGAUGAUAAGUCUAGUGAUGGUGAUGAUAACUCUAGUGAUGGUGAUGAUAAGUCUAGUGAUGAUGGUGAUAAGUCUAGUGUCGACGAUGAUGAGGUUAGUAACGACGAUAACCAGGAUAACAAAAACAACAACAGUUCUAAUAACAAACAAGAAUCAAAAGAGUUUUCAAAAUUAGAUAAAACAAAAGAUAAUAUACAUAUAAGCGAAGAAGAUAAAUUACAAAAUAAUUUACUUAAAACUUUACUUUUAAAUGCUAAUUAUAAUUUUAUAUAUAUUUAUGAAGUUAUGGAAAAACAUAACUCCUUUUUAUAUACUUAUACAAAACCAGGAGAUUUCAUCUUAAUUCCAAUAGUAUAUGAAACAUAUUACAAUUUAACUUUUUUAAAUGAAAUAUAUGAAUUCGAAAAAAAAAAAAUAGUACAAUCGGACACAGUCAAAAAUGUCAUAGCCUCUUCAGAAUUGUCACCAAAAGAAAAAAACCAAAUAAAUGACGUGUCAAACCUGAAUUUCUCAAAAAACGAACACACUGAUACGAAAGAAAAUGAAAAAGAGGAAAAAGGAAAAGGAGAAAAAGAAAAACUUUCCGAAGAUAUGCAACAGAUAAAAUCCGACUUGCAAGUUCAAAUGUGUUUUUGCAUUGAUAACAGAGGGAGUAUAAAUAAGUUAAAUAAGUUAAAAAUUAAUAUGUUUAUAAUUUUUACUUAUUUUUUAAUUACUCGAAUAUUAAUAUGUGAAAGAACAUGUAUUGAUGAACAGGUAAAAAAAAAAAAAAAAAAAAAAAAAAAAAAUGUAUGCAACAGUUUUUAUUAAACAUGUCAGUAUGUAACAACUCAAUGAUACUCGAAUUCACGGUCACAAAAAUGAAAUUUUUUUUUUUUUUUUUUUUUUUUUUUUUUUCCCCAGGUUUACUAUAUGAUCGAUUGCGAAUACGGAGAAACAAAGGAAAGUAUCGAUAAGUUGACGAAAAAAANNNNNNNNNNUUUUUUUUUAAUGCGUUAAUAGUCAUAUUUUUAUUAAUAAAUAAAUUCUUUUGUAAAAAGGUUUCCCGUGC